UUUCGAAUCAUCCACAAUGGGCGAAAGCCUGAUGGUGCGACGCCGCGUGAGGGAUGAAGGUCCUCGGAUUGUAAACCUCUGUCACCAGGGAGCAAAAACUAGACUCAUACUCUAGCUUGAGUUAACCUGGAGAGGAAGUAGUGGCAAACUCCGUGCCAGCAGCCGCGGUAAUACGUAGGGACCAAGCGUUGUUCGGAUUUACUGGGCGUAAAGGGCGCGUAGGCGGCAAUUCAAGUCAUCUGUGAAAUCUCCGGGCUUAACUCGGAACGGUCAGAUGAUACUGCUUUGCUAGAGUGCAGAAGGGGCAAUCGGAAUUCUUGGUGUAGCGGUGAAAUGCGUAGAUAUCAAGAGGAACACCUGAGGUGAAGACGGGUUGCUGGGCUGACACUGACGCUGAGGCGCGAAAGCCAGGGGAGCAAACGGGAUUAGAUACCCCUGUAGUCCCUGAGCGGGCUGGCAAGGCGCAU
RNAcentral lists this ribosomal RNA (467 nucleotides) under uncultured bacterium. Its description in RNAcentral is "bacterial SSU rRNA". It matches the Rfam family "Bacterial small subunit ribosomal RNA", at positions 355 to 825 of the family's 1533-position model. The record is from RNAcentral.